GAUGAACGCUGGCGGCGUGCUUAACACAUGCAAGUCGAGCGAGAAGUUUUGAAACGUUUCUUCGGAUGAAAUUCAAAAUGGAAAGCGGUGGCCGGGUGAGUAACUCGUAGGCAACCUGCCACAACCAAAGGGAUAGCAUGCGGAUACGAAUUAUAAUACUUAAUGACACUUUUCUAGUGCAUACUAGGUAGUUCAAAGACUUAUCGGUAUGGGAUGGGCCUGCGUCUGAUUAGCUAGUUGGAGAGGUAACGGCGCACAAAGGGGACGAUCAGUAGCCGACGAGAGAGGGUGAGCGGCCACAUCGGAACGGAGACACGGUCCGGACUCCUACGGGAGGGAGCAGAGGGGAAUAGUGCACAAUGGGGGGAACCCAGAAGGAGCAACGACGCUUAAACGAUGUAGGCCGUUGAGACGGAUAGUUCUGUUGUAGGGGACAAAAACUGACGGUAACCAAGGAGAAAGCCCCGGCUAACUCCGUG
RNAcentral lists this ribosomal RNA (479 nucleotides) under uncultured bacterium. RNAcentral's name for it is "partial 16S ribosomal RNA". It matches the Rfam family "Bacterial small subunit ribosomal RNA", at positions 28 to 507 of the family's 1533-position model. The record is from RNAcentral.